CCCCACCAAGCUAAGUCGAGUUGUCUGAUCCUGCAAUCGCCAUUUGUCAGACCCAAAAAUGGCCCCGAGCGAUGAAUACUCUUUCGUCGUUAAUAUAAUCACGAACGACCCAUCCCCUUCAACCUCUGUCUCAUCGCCUCGUUGUUAUCAAUUUAUGUGUUCAUCGAUCGGGAAGAUAUUUCGACAAAACUGAUCAGAUAGAUCGGAAGUCUCAUCUGGGUUUUGCUCUUGUGUGGUGGGGUUUGCAAUUUCAGGU
Molecule: non-coding RNA, 256 nt
Organism: Carica papaya (papaya)
Lineage: Eukaryota; Viridiplantae; Streptophyta; Magnoliopsida; Brassicales; Caricaceae
Source: RefSeq, a predicted model, not a curated record